CAAGAAUACUUGCUAAUAAUUCAGAGGCUUGAAAGCAAGAUCUUGACUUUAUGUGUCCCAACCAUUGCAGUAAUUCGAGGACAUGCAGUUGGCACAGGCUGCAUUUUUGCAUUGGCACAUGACUAUCGGCUCAUGGCCUCUAACUAUGGUUAUAUUUUCAUGAAUGAGGGCUUCUUAAAUCUAUACAAAAGCUUUUAGCGGCGCUUGUGUAGAAAUUUUACGGCGCUUUUUCAUGAGAAA
Long non-coding RNA from Magnolia sinica, 240 nucleotides. RefSeq lists it as uncharacterized. The transcript is spliced from 3 exons. NCBI's taxonomy places the organism in Eukaryota, Viridiplantae, Streptophyta, Magnoliopsida, Magnoliales, Magnoliaceae. The record is from RefSeq and is a predicted model, not a curated record.